UAUUAUAUUACUUUACAAAGGGACGAAGGACAUCCUUUGCAUUAGGAUGCUCCCACUCCACUACUGUCUCCCACCAUUCUUCUGGAUAUACAAAGAUUUCUUUAAGAGAAGGGGGAGGAGAUGGCUGGCCAUUUUCAAGCAACGGAAGACAAAUUGGCAUCCUCUUCAGCUUCUCACAACGCACUACACUAAUAUGUUCUAGAGAAUUGCAAAUCAGUUUUGCACUGCAAAUGCAUUUCAGUUCUGGUAAUUCAUACAAUUCCAGAGUUAUUAACUUUGGGAGAAUGACUUCCGUGAUGCAAUUGGAGGUGCUUCUUUCUUCAUCUGUUGUUCCUAUUAUCUCCUCCAUUUUCCUACAGCACCUCACAUCAAUCUUUUCCAGGUUUACGAGGUUUGGCAGCAACACAAGCGGGAACAACUUCUUUAUACUUUUACACUUGUAACAAUAAAACUCUUUAAGACCAGAAAACAUACCAUUAUAUGGUGGCAAUCGUGGUGGAGCAGAGCAGAACCAAGAAGAUGAAACCAGCUCCAUGUUAUGGCAUUCCCGAAUGUUGAUGCGCUCCAGUUCAGUUGCAUUCUCUAAUGACAAAACAUCACAUAAACUUCUUGCAUCGAUGCAUUCACAAAUCAGUCCUUGAAUGCCAUUUAAGAACUUGACCUGAAAAUCUCUAUCUCCGUUGAUACUCAAAUUACCCAACCCUACUGUUUUACUUGGAAACAUUUCAAUGCAUUGCUCGAAAUAUCUACGCACCUCUCCUACUAAAAUCUUGCAUGUGCUUAAUGAUAGGAUCCCAUCCCGAGAUCUGAGAUACUCCAUUAAGUCAGGGAGACCUUCGAAACGGCAUUCCAAAGUUUCCAAAUUUCUCAAGGAUCCUACUUCCUUUCCUUUAACUGUCAUCGCAUCAUCUUCGCGGCAAUAAAUCUUCUAGUACAAAGACUUGCAGGUGAGAGAGUUUUGGUAAUAUCCCACUAGGAAACUCCUUUUCACCACAUCCAUUCAUUCUAAGAUACAUCAGGUUGGUUAGGCAUUCCAUUCCUUGCGGCAUCGUUUCAAGUCGAGUACGAGAGAGAUCCAACCUCUUCAGUGCCCUGAGCUUCUUUAAUGAUGGAACAUAUCUUAAGUUGUCACACUUACGAAGCAAUAACGCAGUGAGACUCACCAAAUCAGAGACAGAGUCUGGCAAGUUUUCAAUACCUGUCGAAGACAGAUCGAGGACCUUGAGCCCAUGCAAUUGCUUGAAAAAUGAAUCCGCAACAAAUCUCAACCCUUUAUUAUCACAUAGAAAUAGAGUUGAUAGAUAGCGACACCUUGGUGAAUAGCUGGAAGGAAUUUCUUCGAUCUCGUUUCUCAUUAGCGAAACCAUCGUCAAAUUCUCCGUCCACUGCUCUGCAUCUGGCAACUCUUUUAAUUGCGCACCUGCUUUAACCAUGACUUGAUAUUCGUCUUGCAGUAUAUGGAUGGCCAUGUCCCUAAUCAAGUCAUGCAUCUUGACACGUCUAAUAUCAUUAUAACCCAUUUGAGCACUUUCCAAUAGGCAGACAUAUUCAAGUCUAUUAAGCAUUGUGUGGCCCUCGUCAAAUGCAUCUCCCCUGCUCCUCUUUACUUUAAUUAUCCCCUCUAAGAUCAAAUAACCUAUCAACUCCUCCCUUUCAAUCUUAUCAUCUUCAGGAAAUAAUGCACAGUACAACAGACAUUGUUGUAGUGUUACAUCACGUAACCGAUUAUAACUAACCCUUAACACUUGGAAUACCUUCUUAUCCCUAAAUUCUGAUUCGCUCAAUUUCUUCAAUGUAUUUCUCCACUCAUGUAGGUCAUCCACUCCCCUCAAGCUUCCUGCCACUGUAAUAAUUCCCAAUGGCAAACCAGCACAUUCCUUUGCAACAGCUUUCGCAAUUCGUUCCACUUCUGUGAAAGCACAUGCCACGUCCAAGUUUCUCCAUGAACAAAGUCCAAGCUUCUCCCUCAAAAGUGGCUUACCUUGAUUUUGCGGUGGCAAGCCAUCUAUGACAAACUUUCUGAUCGAGUUGUCAUAAUCAGCUUGCAUCCUUCCAACUUCUCAGGAAUUCCCACUUCAUGUAGCUCAAAAUUAUUCCACAAAUCAUCUAGAAUGAGAAUCCAUUUUUGUUUCUUCAUUAGUUCUUCUGACAAUUUGGCAGCUCUAUGCAGAUCAUCAUCUUCGCUUGAAAGGUCUAGACGAAGACGUUUAGCAAUAAUAUUCUGCAAUCUAUUAAUGCUGAAAUCUUGAGACACAGUCACCCACCAAACAUGAUCACAAAUAUCUGGUCUUUGUAGAAGCUCAUUAUGGAUAUGUUGCAGUAUUGUUGUUUUACCAACUCCCCCCAUCCCAUAAAUGCCAAUGGUUGGGACUUCAUCAUCCAUUAACAAAGACCAUAUCACCUUCUUAUUCUCUUCAAAUGCUCGACCCACUGGCUUUAUAGAGCUAGCAGGUAAUGGAACUCCUCUAGUCUCACUUGUGUUGUAUUUAAGGCUUAUAGAAGAUCUAGCUCCAGCGUCAGGCCGCACUGAUCUUCCACUAUUCUCCAUAUCCUCCUCCACUGGUUCUGUCCUCACUCUAACCAUGUUCUGCACAUCAUUCAUAAUGACAUCAUUGUUUACUGAUGGAGCAAAUAGGUGACACAAAGGAUCUGUUGGUUGGGAUGAAUCUCCUCGAGGCUCAUCAGCUUGAUUAAUUGAUGGCCUCUCACAAGAGCUACCUCUCUCCAGAUGCUGCACUUGUUCUGUUCUCGGUAUAGUUUCAGAUCCAUCAUGCAGACGCUCCACAUCCUCAUCUUCCUGCAUUAAAUACGUAGAGAUUUCAUUCAGCUGAACCCAAGUGCCAUCAACAAAUUGAUCCACUAAAUCUGUUCCUCUAUUCUCAUAAGCAUCAACUCUGAGUCUCCAAGGAGAGACACUUCUGUCAACAUGCUGAAACGAUCCUUCACCAGUGUAUUCCAUGCCUUGAACUCCCGCUUGCAUCCUUCCAGCAUUGUCUUGUUCUUGUGGACAGGUGGAAAUGGCAUAAUCAUUAACAUUGCUUGAACUUGCUAUGCUUUUAUGUCUUUUGUUGCCACCACGCAUAGCUAGAAAGGCUGCUCCUUGAACUUCUUUAGGCACCUCACCACAAAUGCCAACACCAUGCCCUCUCUCUCCUGAUAAAUGCCAUUUUAUCCUCGAAAUGGAAGUACCAUUGGCAAAUAAAUGCCCACAAAACUUACACUUCAUGCUUCCAUCAUUCAUAUCUUCAACUUCUUUCCAAAACGGAUCAUCUGAUCUACCCAUUUUGUCCUACAGAUGAAAAGGGUCAAAAUAUUGAAUAAAAAUUAAUGGAAGUACAUUAAUUGGAAAAGGAAGGUUGAAACUAAAAUAAUAGGUUACAAACAGCGAAGAAACUAAUAAGAAAAAACAAUGAAUUCAAGGUUAACUUGGGGUCAAUUUGGUAUGAACUGCAUAAGGCGUGGAUUGCUACAACUGAGAAAGAUCAAAUUAUUUAUUUUUGGAAACUGUUGAUGAUCCUAUCUCCAAAGUUUCUCAUUGAAAUUUCUACAACUUGUGUUUUCCUUGAAAGAUUCAAACCAGAGGUACAUGUGAAAAACAAAAUGAAGAAGAUGGAUUAUAAAUAAUUUACCUGGAUUCAAGUUGUUCUUCAAGUGCUGGUUCGCUGAAGUAGUAUUCAGGAAGAAAAACAAGAACAGAGAAGAAUAUACGGUUUAAAAAUAAGAAGGAAGUUGCAAGAUGUUGAGCUCCAGAUGAUUCGAUUCAAUCAGAAAAGGAAGCACUGAUCAUCAGAAAGUUUAAGAAAUUUGAUGAGGGAAAUCGGGAAAUCAAUGGUAUAAUGAGAUGAGAUUUGGAAGAGAGCGUUACAGUAGCUAAGAUUAUUGUAUUGUUUGAGAAGAAGGAAGUUGCUAGGAAGGAAGCCACAAACUUUACCUACCAGAGAUUAUAUUAUAAGAUAUGGCAAGUGGCUGUACACCUCAAAUUUGUUUUUCUUUUGUCUAGCGCUGCAUAUAAUUAAAAACUUCAACAAAAGAAUCAGAAGCUAAUUGCUGUCUGAGUUAACGUGUGGACCCACCCCAUUGUUGAAACUUUGGAAAAAGCUGGCCUGAAAAUGUAAGAGCCUGAAGCUUAGCUUCAAGAGCUGUAAAGCAUUGACCGUCAUUAUCUGAUCCACUCCAACUUCCAUUCCCUAAAAAUUUCACACCUUAGCACAAACAAAAGGCCGUUUUAUAGAUAACUUAAGAAAUUUUGCCCACGCUUAGUUUCGAGGUGUCAGCAACGUUCUUCUGAGCAUAAAUUCUUCUUUAAAACAAAAGGCGUAUAUGGUUAUUGUAAGGCAUAAUCCCGCAAAGUGUUCCAGUUUUUUUGCCUCUAUGACAUGGAUAUGACAUCUCAUUAGUGAAAAAGCUAAAUGCUGUUUAUUGCACGCUGCUAGUUGGGAUAUACAGAACUCAGUUCAACCCAGCAAGUCGCUGCAUCAGACUUAAAACUCCAUAGCAGUCAGCACAAUCUAUGAAGAUAAAAUUGAAAAAAAACAAUCAAUGUAAACACAUGAAAAUGAGAAAGAAUAGCAUAUUUCCGCUUUUGAAAAAUCAUUCAUCACUUUUAAACACGCAAAUGAUUAUCCCUAUUAAGAAAAUUCAACGACAACAAUAUACUCAAGAGCAGGGGCGGAACUAGGGGAGAUAGGCAGGCGCCCGGCCCCUGCAAAAUAUUUUGAAGGUUUGUAUUUUUAAUGUUUAAAUAUAAUAUAAUAUAUUUUUAAUUUAAAUAGAUAAGAUUUUUAAUAAUAAAUUAUAUUUUAAGUUUUGGCCUUCCUGUUAUAUCAUUUCAGCUCCGCACCUGUCCGAGAGCAAUAUUACAGUAAGGAAAUUAAAUUAAUACAGAUAAAUAUAUGAUCCAAAAAUAAUUAAAGAAUCAAUCCAUUUAAUCGAAAAAAACAUGACUGAAUCCAUAAACUACAUGCCCUUCUUUUUCUAAAGGAGGCAGCCCCACUUUUUCAUCACGUCGCCAUGGUCCCCGUGUCCCACAUGUUUUUAAGUGCGUUCAGGCUGGUUCAAAGGGAAUUUCACGACUUGUUUGCGAGAGCUUCAACUCUACAUUGAAAUGUUUUUUCUUAAUCUGUGAGAGCUUCAUAAUAAGCUUAUUAAAAUAAAUUAUUAUAAUGAAAUUAAAAACAAAAAUGCUUAAAAAAAAACAGAGAGACGCCGUGUUUUCUCUAUUGCUACAAGGUAAAAGUCUAAGCAUAUUUAUUUUUUUUAUUUUUUUAUUUUUUAAUAAUAUUACUGUUAUAUCUACCGCCUAGAAAUCAAGAACGCUAGUUUCAUUUAAAAGAUUCUGAAGUUCAUAUUUAGAUAAAUUAGCAGAAAGGACGGAAACACAACAAAUCAUACCCAGAGAAUCAAAAGCCAGAAACAAGCUACCUCAAUUCCUGCUCCACCUGGCUAAGAAAUGCAGCAUGCCCACUUGGAAUUACACAUCAUCCAAAUUCCAUGGCAAAUAAUUGGUUGGAAUUGUUUCCUGUGGAGUCAUUUCAAAAUUUGAAAAUAAAAACAGAAAAUAGAUCCAGCAAAUGAUUCCAAAUAUCUUAUAAAAUAACAAUGAAAUAUGUUUUUUUAUUUACUGUAAGGAAAGAUAUUAAUGGAAAAAAUAAAAAAAAAAUCAAUUUAAAAAAUUAUAAUAAGUCAAAAUCUAGAUUUAAAAUCUAACUAGUAUCAGAUUCCUAGUUGAAUUGAAUAAUUGAGAGCGAAACGUGUCAAGACUGACAAGAGUUCAGAAUAGACUCGUGAACGUGUCCUCUAAACCCUCCUGUCCCUCUUCCGAUCCUUGCUAAACCCCUUGUUCUGGUCGUAAUCAUCCAUUAGCGUAAACCUAUGCUUCUCUUGACUUUGAUCCCAAUAAACCAACCCAUAGAGUUGGUGGUAAUGUAAUUUAUAUAACUUUUUAAAUUAUUUUUAUUUAAAAAAUAUCAAAUUAAUUUUAAUGUGUUGGUAUUAAAAAAAAUUAAAAAACAUUAUAUUAAUAUAUUUUUAUUUAAAAAAUAUUUUUUAAAAAACCGUAUGUAGAAUUACUAAACACCCUUAAGCCAGUGGACAAAGACAAAAACGACAAAAUACAAAGGAAAAGGGAUAAAAGCAUAUAUUUGGAGAUGAUAAAAGGGCAUGAGAUCAAAGAGGAUAAGAUUUCCAGUGAUGGGACUGGAUGGUGAUGAAGGAUUUUUUGGACAAGAGCAUAGUAAUUAAUCCUUUACUAAAAUUUUUUAUUAUUUUAAUAUAUUUUUUAAUAAAAAUUAUUUUUAAAAAAUUAUUUCAAUGAUAAUUUUCUUUAUUGAUUAGUGAAUCUGGUUAGACUUAAGCCCUACGAGGAUCAAAUGUUGCGAGGCGAGCAACUCCAUUUUAUUUUCCAGUUCAGGAUAGUUUUCUGAAAUAAUAAUAAUAAAAAAAAGAGCUAUAACAUAAAAAUCAUCUGAGCAAAAAGCCAAGAAAAGUGGCCCAUGCUGCGUAAGGUUUAAGAAAGAAAAUAGUUUUGAUUGUUGACCGAGAAGAGGAGCACACGCUUAUGCUUUUUUAUGAACAGAGAGGUGGCUGCCCCAAUAUAUUCGGCCUGCCAACUCUUAUUUGUAUGGUCGUCUGUUUCUCCAUGUCUCAAUAUUUUUUUAUAAAAAAACCACCACUUCUCCAUAUUAUAUUAUAAGAUAUGAAAAGUUAACGUGUGAAACUUCGAAAAAGCUGUCAAGAAAAUGUAAACACAUGAAAAAUAUUUUUUAAAAAAAACCCAAAAAUCAUCUGAGCAAAAAGCCAAGAAAAGUGGCCCACGCUGCGUGAGUUUUUUAUUCAAGAACCUAGCUAGAGCUUAGCUUCAAGAGCGGCGAGGACUAAGCUAGGAAUGAUGCCUCUCACUCCUCCCCCGUCAAUGCUAAGGGUUGUUGCAAAGUAAAUAGGAAACUUCAUCCAUAGACCAAUCUUUUCUGAUCCAUAGACAAUGGAUCUGUUGGUUGAGAUGAGUCUCCAUCACAACCCAACAACAUUAGCUUAUCUGCUAUCCCCUUUAUGAGAAGAAGAUUUCGAAUCAGUCCAUUCAUUCCCAUCUGUAGGCAUCUUUCUCAAACAUCAAGGAGAAUUACUUCUGGAUUCUGAGUUGCCACUAAAAAACAAAAAACCCUUAAUGAACUAGUUCGUCUCCCAGUACUUAAAUUAGUUUCCUCAUUGUUUUUCACAAAUUUUUAAGAAAAAAAGAAAAACUAAUAUACUUGAGGUAUUAUAACAAACCUGUAAAUUACAUUAAUCUUAUAAAAAAACAUAAUAAAAAUAAAUAAAUUACAAAGUUGAAUUUUAAAUCAGCCCACUAAUAAAAAAAACAAAAAAAAAACAAAACACAUUGGAUUACUUAUUAUAAUUUACAAUGAAAUAGGUGUGAAUAAAUAGUACUUCUCCCAAGCCUCUUAGCUUUUCUUUUAAUGAAAAUUAAUAACCGUAUAAUAUCUUCCUUGUGGAUGCUCUAUCGUUGCUAAAUUAAAACAUCUUUCUUUUUUAUGUGAAACUUUUUUAAAAUAAAAAUAUUUUAAAAAAACAUUGUUAUUUUAAUUUUAUUUUUAAAAUAAAUACCAUCGUUUUAGUUUUUAUAAAUAAAUAAUAUGAUGUCGUUUUUUUUUACUCAGGUUAAUCAGUUAAUAUGUGAGUCAACCAGUACGUUUCUUAGCUAUUUAUUAGCAAUCUAAAUAUUUUUUUAUUUUUAAUAUUAAUAUAUCAAAAAAUAUUAAUUUAAUAUUUUUUUAAAUAAACAGAUUUUUAAAUGCACUCAAACAUAAUUAAGAGUACAAAAACAAAUUAUGUUUUGAUUGCGAACAGAAAAAUCUUGACAGUACCGUUGUUGUUUGGACUUUGAGAAAGAUAAAACAAAAGAGUUGGAAUAAUUGGAAAUCUGAACAAUUUGGGUACCCUUCACUGUAUUAGCCAUUCCUUUCCUUGCCUGCUCUCCUUUUUUUUUUUUUUUUUUUUUCUCUGGCGCAAUUGCCAACAAAUACCCUUUUUCAUUAUGUCUCCAUGAUACCCUUGCGUCAAAAACCUAAAUUUUAGGACUUUUUAGGCAGCCACGUCCAUGCUUUAGGAGUUUUUUUUUCGAAAUCCUUAUUAGUGGCUAGCCUUUUAAGAUACCUUUCCAACACGUCAAGAAUAACAGCAAAAUAUGAUACGUGAGUGGAAAGUUAUGAUUAAAAUAUUUAACUGCAUCCAAGCUAUUUCCAAAAAAAUAAAAUAUUAUUACUUUUAGUGUAUCCAAGCUAUUUAAGAAUAUAUCAAAGUAAAUAGAAUUUCAAUUCAAAAAUACACAUUAAUUUCUAUUAUUUGUAUUCACAUUUUAGCAUUUUAUUUCAAUAAUAGAGUAUUUAAGGGUGCUUAGAAGUUUAAUAUCAAUUAUUUUUCAAAAUAUUUUUUUUAUGAAUAUAUCAAAAUAAUAUUUCAUUAUUAUUUUUUUAAAAAUAUUUUUAAUAUCAACACAAUAAAAUAAUUUAAAAACACAAAAGAGUUAAAAAGAGACAUCUACCUUGUUUUAUCUGUUGGUACAUGGUAAGAGUCUAAGCAUAUUUAUUUAUUUAUUUAUUUUUAUUUUAAUAAUAGUCCUGUUAUUUCUACCGUCAAGAAAUCAAGAACGAUUCAAAAGAUUCUGGAGUCCAUGUUUAGAUAAAUUAGCAGAAAGGACAAAAAUCCUAUAAACUAAAAUCCUCAAUUCUUGCUCCACCUGGCUAAGAAAUGCAGCAUGCCCCCUUGGAAUUACACAUCAUCCAAAUUCUAGGGCAAAUAAUUGGUUGGAAUUGUUUUUUGAGAGUCAUCUCAAAAUUGAAAAAUAAAAUCAGAAAAUAGAUUUUCAACACAAUCAUGCUUUUUAUUUAUUAUAAAUAUAAAAUAAAGUUGAAGUGAAGUUGGGUCCAAUCCUUAAAUGGUCCAAACAUUAUUGUAAGAAUGCGACAGUCCAAUCUGAAAGGUUUUGGAUGCAAAACACAGGCUGCAACGCAGAUGGAGCAAGAAAUUCCACCCCAAGAAAAAUCCAAAUAUAAGUUAUUCCAACUUUCUUUCUAUCCCAAGAAAUCGAGAAUACUAGUUUCAUUCAUCAAAAUUAUAAAUCCUAUAUUUAGAUAACAAAAAUCCUAGUGCAAAAUACCUAUAAACUAUAUUAUAAGAUAUAAAAAACUAACGUGUGGAGUCUGUGGACCGACCCAAUGUUCAAACUUUGAAGAAGCUGCCAAGAAAAUAUAAACACAUGAUUAGAGAAAGAAUAGCAUAUGGUCGUCUGUUUCUCCAUGUCUCAAUAUUUUGUUAUAAAAAAACCACCACUUCUCCAUAUUAUAUUAUAAGAUAUGAAAAGUUAACGUGUGCACCCACCCCAAUGUUGAAACUUCGAAGAAGCUGCCAAGAAAAUGUAAACACAUGAAAAAUAUUUUUUAGAAAAAACCCAAAAAUCAUCUGAGCAAAAAGCCAAGAAAAGUGGCCCACGCUGCGUAAGUUUUUUAUUCAAGAACCUAGCUAGAGCUUAGCUUCAAGAGCGGCAAGGACUAAGCUAGGAAUGAUGCCUCUCACUCCUCCCCCGUCAAUGCUAAGGGUUGUUGCAAAGUAAAUAGGAAACUUCAUCCAUAGACAAAUCUUUUCUGAUCGGGUUGUAGGAAUCACUGAAUCAGCUUGCAUCCCUUAACUUGGACAGGAACUCCCAGCUUCUGUAUGCCAAAAGUCUCGCUCAUACCAUCUAAAAGCAGAACCCAUUUGAUAAUAGAUAUUGGAGAAAAAUUAGAGUACACAAAUAGAAUGUAAAAUUUAGAAAACUGUUUUGAAUUAUGCUGGAGAGCAUGCCGGCGGCGAUGAGUUUGGAGCUUAGCCUGGUGUUCUCCGACGGUUUCAACUCAUGCAUUCAAUUCCAAGCAAUAGCUGUGAUUUCGUAAUCUGUAUUUUGAGCGACUUUUUGGAGAGGGAGGGGCAGCGCGGGAACGAAAAGGUAGCAGUCUCAAGCCUCGCCAAUAGCCCAAGAGUAAAAAUAACAUGCUCCUAGCCCAAGCCCACCAACAUCACCCCCAACAGAUUGGUAAAAUGCUCACAAGUCACAACCAUUUUGAAAAAAAAAAAAUAAAAAAUCAUAUAUAUAUUUUUUUGCUUUAGGAUCAUUUGAUGUCAAAAAUAAAAAAAAUAUUAAAAAACUUAAAAGCUAGGUAUUAUCAAAAUGUGAAAGGGGCAAAAGCUAGCUUGGAAAUUCUGAGAUUAUCUUAGAAAUUGCUAUUAAAUAUUAUGGCAGAAGGUAUACUUCGACGCCACCAUUGAAGUAACACUGAUCUAAAAACAUUAUAUGCCACACCGCAAACUAAUAACAAUGGUAUACUAGAAAGUGAAAAUAAAUCGAUAUUAAUCAUGAAAUAAAUCGUUAGCAGAAACCAAAAAUAAAUGAAUAAAUUGUUCAUACUACUCCAUCUUAUUGAUGGGAAUGAAUUCUGACCUGCAGGACUCCUGCUAAAAUUAGCUGAUAAAUUAUCAUGAAAAAACUUAAUAAAGUCAGAAAAAAAAAAGAUCAUGAAAUGCUUCUUAAAUUAAAUAAAAUGGAGAAGAAAACCCAAGUAAUAAAUGUUCAAUUCACUUUCAAGUUAAAAAUAAAGAAUGAAAGCAUUUCUAUUCAAUAAUACUUCUUGCUCACAAAUAAGCUGGCAACAAUUAUAUGAGAAUCAAAUCUCUCCAAUUACAUGGUCGUAUAACUUCAAGAUUCCUAGGUCAACUCUAUUCAACUGUGCAGGUGGACAACAAAUUUACAAUCCAAGAAAAAAAAUUAGAAAGCAUCCCUCAAACAGGUUGGAAAAGAUACUAGAGGCAAAAGAUUAUAAGCAAUAGUAGCAGAGAAUAUAAAAAGCAUUAUUGUAGCAGAAAAAUGUGAUAUAAUUACCAGAAAAGCUCAUCCUAACUUCCCUGGCUAGUGCUUACGAUGGCAGUUUCAGGUUUAGAAACCAAAACUCAUCCAACAAAAAAAUGUAUGUUCAGUUCAUACUCUCUCAGAGGCAUUUAAUAUAGAAUCUUAUCCUUCCUCAUUUGAUCUUCUCAAUGCUGUGGUGGAAGAAUACUUCUGACAUGUUUACGAUGUUUGUUGUGAUUUGAAUUGACCAGAAUUCAAGAAUGUUCGAAGAGAUGAAUUCAUUGGCGAUGAAAUACCUUACUUUUAUUGAUUUAAUUUUCUAUUUCCUGUAUUCUGCUAUGGAAAUGAAUUAAUCUUCAUUGUGAAAAUGUUCCUAAAUUCUUACAUUUUUAUUAACAAUAAGAGAUGAAGAGGAGGCGAAGGUAUAAUGCAACCAACAAAUGAUACAGAAUAAGCUCAGACCAAGAGAACAAUCGACGCAAUUGUCCCUUCCACUUUUUGUCUCUCUUCCUUGAACUCAUAACUUAAGCAUCCAUCCCUUUUACUCAGACAAAACCACCGGUCACUAGUAAAAAACUUCAUUUUGAUAUAUAUAUUUUUAAAAUUGAUAGAAAAAACCACUUUAUAUUGUUCAUAAAGACGGAAAAAACUUAAAAAUACAAAUUAAAAAAUCUUGAGGAAUUCAUUAACCAAUCCUUUUAGUUUUUUUUAUGUUUUCUAUAAAGUCAGAAAAAAGUUAAAAAUACAGAUUAAAAAAUCCUGAAGAAUAUAGAAAAAUAGGAUGAAUUUUUUGUACGAGGAAAAUAGAUAGAGGUAUGGAAUUUUAUUCUAAAUAUAUCCUUAUAAAAAUUUCAAAAUUCCAAGUCAUGUAAUUCGAUUAUCAUUCAUUUUUUAAAUUGUAUUCUCUCUUUUGUUUUUCUUGUAUAUAGAUUUUAAAAGAAUAAUUUAUUGCUAGUUAAUGAUAUAAGAUGAUUUGUACUAAUGAAUAGAUCUAUUACUUUAUUUGGUUACUUCAAUGAUAAAUCAAUAUCAAUAUAGUGUUUGUUUUUGUAUUUUUUGGAUUUUUAUCUUGGAGAAACUCAAUAGGAUGAAAAUAUAGUAUUAAUCAAACUUCAAAUUAUAAUUAUUUAUCUAUCGAGUUAAAAAAAAUAUAUGACAAUUCAAUAGUCUUAAAAAGAUAAUGAAAUAAAUAAAUAAAUGAAAAAUGUUAUUUAUGUAAUUCUAAGAACACAAUAUAAAAAAGAAAUAUUUCAUAUUAAUAAACGCUCUUUCUAUGAAUUCAUGUUAGGCUUCGAUUUUUCUUUGAAAUAUGGAAUUGGCAAUACAAUUUCAAACCGACCCAAAUCCAACCAUUGAGCAUCUUUAAUCCAAAAGCAUCAUGCAAGUAAUUUUAAUAUUAAUUAAUAAAAAUAUCCUUGUUGAUUUAAAGGACUAUUUUCAUCAUUCAUAAAAAAAAAAAUUAAAAAGAAAAAUAUUCAAUUUUUUUGAAAAACGUGUGCUUUAACAAUGUUUUUAAAUAUUAAAUAUGUGAUUAAUUAAGAGCAGGUGAUUGCUUUUGUUUUUAGUUGUUUUUCAAAAAAAGAUAAAUAGAUUUUUUUAAUGUUUUUUUAUAAUUUAAAUAUAUUGAUAUUAAAGAUAAAAUAAAUAAAUUUAAAUAAAUAAAAAACAAUUAUUGAACAUGAAGCGAAUCUGAUUACGUAACAAUUACUAAUAGGGAAAAAAUUAGGAGACAAAUUAAAGGUUUUCAAUCGUUGCCGUUACCAAUUUGUUGCUGAUUAGAGGCACACGGAGUCAAAGACUCCAUCCUUGCUUUUAAUGAACAAAACCUAGUGCUAGUUUUGGUGGCUGGUGUUUUUCCGUGCUGGAUUAAUUUUUUAAAAAUAUUAAACCAGUAAAUUAAUAUACUUGAGUUAUUAUAAUAAACCUGUAAAUUACAUUAAUUUUAUAAAAAAAUAUAAUAAAAAUAAAUAAAUUACAAAGUUGCCCACAAAUGAAAUAAACAAAAAAAAAACACAUUGAGUUACUUAUUAUAAUUUACAAUGAAAUAAGUGUGAAUAAAUAGUAGUUCUCUCAAGUUUCUUAGCUAUUCUUUUAAUGAAAAUUAAUAACCGUAUAAUAACUUCUUGUGGAUGCUCUGCUAAAUUAAAACAUUUUUUAUUUAUUUACAACUAUGUGAAAAAAUUUUAAAAUAAAAAAUUUUAAAAGAUAAUAUUUUAAAAAACAUUAUUAUUUUAGUUUUUUUUUUUUAAAAAUACCAUCGUUUUAAUUUUUAUAAAUAAAUAAUAUGAUGUGGUUUUGUUUUUUACCCAGGUUAAUCAUUUAAUAUGUGAGUCAACCAAUGCGUCUCUUAGCUAUUCGUUAGUAAUUAAAAAAUAUAUAUAUUUUUUAAUAUUAAUAUAUCAAAAAAUAUUAAAUAAAUAUUUUUUUUAAAUAAAUAGAUUUUUAAAUGUACUCAAACAUAAUUCUAAGUACAAAAAUAAAUUAUAUUUUGAUUGCAAGCAUAACAAUCUUGGCUGUGCCGUUGUUGUUUGGACUUUGAGAAUGAUAAAACAAAAGAGUUGGAAUAAUUGGAAAUCUGAACAAUUUGGGUACCCUUCACUGUAUUAGCCAUUCCUUUCCUUGCCUGCUCUCCUUCUUUUCUUUUCUUUUUUCUUUUUUUUUUCUCUUAAUUUUCAAGAGAGCCUUAACCAUUCCUUCAUGCAAGUGUACGCUUUGCCAAACAAUCCUUUAGGAAAAUGGGUCGCCCUCCCUCCGACGACUUGCCAUAACAGAGAUUAAUUAUUUUAUUAAAAUAAUAUCAUUUUGUUUUUUUAGUAAUCCAAUUAGAUAUGAACUAGGUUAGUUUAAUUGAUCGAUUAAAUUCCACCCAAUCAAUAUCUUAUUUAGUUUAAUUACAAAUCCAGUCCAAGUUAAAUUUAAAAUUUAAAAUUUAAAAUUUUUAAAAUAAACACGGUUUAACAAUUAUUUUCUUAUCUUUAACUAAACUUUAAAGUAUGUAAACUUUCACACUCGGUGUGUGUAUAUUAUUCAACCAAAUAAUUGCUUGUGUCAUAUAUGUGUAGAGCUUUCUAGUAUUAAAAAUCUUAGAUUAUCAAAUAAUUAAACUUUUUAUCCAAACCAAUAAAUUUUAUGUGUCUAUUUUAAAUUUUGGUUUUAAAAAGAAAAUCAAAAUAAUAAAUCAAACAAUACCUGUAAAUCUUUUAUAUUACAGAUUAGCUAUAACCAGUGCACCCAUUUAUCAUUCUUAAGGUCAAUAUUUGGAAAUAAAUAAAUAAAUAAAUAAAAACUACGUACCAAUAUUUAAUUUAAGUAACCUCAAAGACUGCUAAUUUAGCUUUUUGAUAUUAAAAGGGCGUAUGUUGUUACUCUCUGCCUAGUGAUGAGACAAAUAUCAGGUCUUCUAUCUACACAAUAGUUAGAUGUGGAAAGGGUUAGAGGGAAUUUUUUUUUUUAAAAAAAGAAGAAGAAGCAAAACACCUUGAAUUACGUACUAUUUUUAUAUAGUGAUUCUCCAAGUCUCUUAGCUUUUCUUGUAAUGAAAAUUAAUAACCUUAUAAUAUCUUCCUUGUGGAUGCUUUAUCGUUGCUAAAUUAAAAUAUCUUUUUUCAUUUACAACUAUGUGAAACUUUUUAUUUAAAAAUAAAAAUAUCAAAAAAGAUAAUGUUUUUAAAAAAUAUUAAUUGUUAUUUUAGUUUUUUUAAAAUAAAUACCAUCAUUUUAGUUUUUAUAAAUAAAUAAUAUGAUGUGGUUUUGUUUUUUACUUUGGAAUACGUCUCUUAACUAUCUGUAAGCUUCCUAUUCGUUUUUAGUAAUUAAAAUAUAUAUAUAUUUUUUUUAAUAUUAAUAUAUCAAAAAAUAUUUUUUUAAUAUUUUUUUAAAACAAAAAGAUUUUUAAAUGCACUCAAAUAUAAUUCUGAGUACAAAAACAAAUAUAUAUUUUGAUUGCGGGCAUAGCAAUCUUGGCAGUGAUAAAACAAAAGAGUUAGAAUAAAUGGAAAUCUGAACAAUUUGGCUACCCAUCACUGUAUUAAUCAGCCAUUCCUUUCCUUGCAUGUUCUCCUUUUUCUUUCUUUCUAUCUUUUUUUUUUUUUUUUCUUUGGAGGCAGCCCUCCUUUUUCAUCACGUCUCCAUGAUCCCACACGUUUUCAUCAAAAACCUAAAUUAUAGGACUUCUUAGGCAGCCACGUACAUGCUUUAAGAGUUCUUUUUUCAAAAUCCUCAUUAGAGGCUAAAUUAAAACAAAUUAAAAUAAUUGUGAUUAAAAUAAUUAAAAUAAUUUAAAAAUAUAAAAAAUUAUUUAAAAAAAAUUAAAAUAUUUAAAAACACAACAUUAUGAAACAAGAUAUCAUGUCAAGAAUCACAACAAUCCAACAUAUGAGUGGAAAGCUAUGAUUAAAAUAAUAGAGUGCAUCUUCACUUUUAAAAUGAUUUUGACGAUGAUUUAUAAUAGUGAAUAGAUCUAUUAUUUUAUUAGGAUACUUUAAUGAUAAAUCAAUAUAGUUUUUUUUUUUUUGGAUUUUCAUCUUGGAGAAACUCAAUAGGAUGAAAAUAUAAUAUUAAUCAAACUUCAAAUUAUAAUUAUUUAUCUAUCGAAUAAGAAUAUCCUUGUUGAUUUAAAGGACUAUUUUCAUAUAAAAAAUAAUUAUGUUUUGCACCUGAUUUUUAACAAAAAUGAUUGAAAAAAUGAUAUAUUAUUGAAUAUGAGCAAAUUUAAGAUUACAAAAAUGAUUAGUAUUUUUACAGAUGCAUAGAAUUGAUAAAUGAUGCAACAAAGAAGGAUACGUAUUAUUACAUUUAACGGAGUAAUUAACCAUUCUACAUAUUAAUUAUUUCAAGAAAAAAAGGUCCUUUGGACAAUACCUUGGAAAUUCAAUUCAAAAAUUCCCUUUAAUUUCUAUUUUUUUUUAAUCAUUUUAGCAUUUUAUCCCAAUGAUAGAACAUUUAGAAUGCGCAUGGAACGCCAUCAAGCUUUAGCUUCAAACAACCAGAGGGAGCUUCAGUGCAGUAGAAAACUUCAACAUCUACUGUGAAGCUUGAUUUGCUAUCCAAUCUGCACACCAGUUUUUAUCCCACUGCAGUAGAACUUUUUAUCUUUUUCCAAGUUUUUUUUUGGGUGACUUUUUUUCUUUCAUCUCAAAUUAACUUGUGAAUAAAAAUAAAUAAAUAAAAUAUAAAAUACAAUUUUAAACCAAAAUAAAAAAUAUAAGAUGCAAAAAAUUAUAGAGAUCGAAAUUUUAAAAAUCACGCCUAUGUUUUUUUUCUAGUUUUAGUAUUAAAUUUGUUCGUAUAAGUUUUAUUUAUUUUUAAUCAAUUAAAUUGAACAAAAUCUUGUCAAGUCAAACAUAAACUCUUUAUUGAAUCGUCUUUUCUUUUUGGAUAAUAAGAGCUUCAUAGAAAGCUUAUUAAAAUAAAUUAUUAAAUGAAAUUAAAAAUAAAAAUGCUUUUAAAAAAAAAACAAAACAAAACAGAGAGACAUCUACGUGUUUUCUCUAUUGGUACAUGAUAAAAGUCUGAAAAGAUUUAUUAUUAUUAUUAUUAUUUUAAUUUUAAUAAUAGUACUGUUAUUUCUACCGCCAAGAAAUCAAGAAAGCUAGCUAAUUUUAAUACAAUGCUGGAGUUCUUAACUUCGGGAGAAUGAAUUCCGUGAUGGAAUUGGAGGUGCUGCUUUCUAUUAUGCACUGAUCAUGAGAUGUGGAAGAGAAUGUUACAGUUGCUAUCUCUUUUACAUAAUAUUAUUUAUUAGUAAGGUCGCCUCAAUAAUAAUUAAUUAACGUAUUGUUUGAUAUAUUAUAAGAUAUAUAAAGUUAACGUGUGGACCCGCCCCAAUGUUGAAACUUGGAAGAAGCUACCAAGAAAAUGUAAACAAAUGAAAUUUUCUAAAAAGAAUAGCAUAAUUAAAAAUAUAUUUUUUAUUUAAAAAUAUAUUAAAAUUAUUUUUUUUAUCAACACAUCAAAAUAAUUUUAAAAUAUUAAAAAAUUAUUUUUUAAAAAAUCAAAUUAAAAAAAAAACACAUUAUGACUGUAAAGAUAAACCAGUCAAUAUUCUCAAGGUAGCAAUUACUAAUUGGGAUAAAAAGAAAUUAAAAGACAAAUUAAAGGUUUUGAGUCAACGCCAUUACCAAUAUUCGCUUGCAGGGUGUAUGGUAGUUCCUAUGCUUCUGCCUUUGAGCGUGUAUAUUAGAGCAGAGUGAUUUUAUUUAACCAUGAAAAUUUUGUGAGACAAAUUAUAGUGAAUGUUUUUCUAUUUUACCAAUAUACCCAAGGUGUUUAUAACAGAGUGAUGCUACAUGCUGAGGUGGAUAUUAGCAACAGAGGAAAGCAUACAAAAGUAACAAAAAAAAAACAUCAAAUGAAAGAAAAAAAACAACCUUUAGAAACACGCGUCUUUGGAUUAACCAAUUCUUUUAGUUUAUUUUUUAUGUUGUUCAUAAAGACAGAAAAAACUUUAAAAUACAAAUUAAAAAAUCUUGAGGAAUUGAUUAACCAAUCCUGUUAGUUUUUUUUCUUUUCUAUGAAGACAGAAAAAACUUAAAAACACAGAUUAAAAUAAAGAUUUAAUAGAGAAUGAAAUUUAAUUUUAAAUGCAAAUUAAAAUAAAGCAGAGUGACUAAUGGAGAAAGUACUACUGGAAUUCUACAAAGAGUACAGCGUCGGGAAUCCUUGCACACGUUUGGUAUUUUAAUUAUUCUUAUUUCGUUUAAUAACUCAAUUGGAAGUUCAAUUCCCAGAAUUUCUGCUUUUGAAAAAUCAUUCAUCACUUUUAAAUAACGCAAAUGAUUAUUAAGAAAAUUCAACGACAACAAUAUACUCAAUAGCAAUAUUACAGUAAAGAAAUCAAAUCAAUACAGAUAAAUAAAUGAUCCAAAUAUAAUCAAAGAAUUAGUCCAUUUAAUAGAAAAAACAUUACUGAAUCCAUAAACUACAUAAUUCCCUUUUCUUUUUUCUUUUUUCUUCUUCUUCUCUGGUGCAUUUCCCACACGAAAUACUCAUUUCAAAUUAGGCACCCCCUUUUUCUAAAGGAGGCCCCCAAUUUUCAACCUCGUUUUCCAUCACGUCUCCAUGAUCCCCGUUGUGUCACAAACAAAUUUUCUAAAUUUUAGGCUUUAGGAGUUCCUUUUUUGAAAUCCUCAUUAGAUGCUAAUAUCUAGCCCUUCAAGAUACCUUUCCAACGCAUCAAGAAUCACAGCAAUCUUAUAUGUGAGUGGAAAGUUAUGAUUAAAAUACUAAAGUGUGUGGAGGCUGUUUCCAAAAAAAAAAAGAACAUUACUACUACUUUAAGUGUAUCUUUUGAUGUUUCCGGUUUAUAUUGAUAUAUUAUUCAUGUGAAUAAUAUAAGAAAAUUGCACUUAAAAAAUAAUGAACAAUUUUUUUUUUUAGUAUGUUAAUUUUUUCAAUAUUUUUUUUUAAAAAACACUAGUUUAGAGUGAAUUAAAUUCACUCGCAUUGUAACAUCAAUUUUAUACCUGAUAAUAUUUUAUCUAAUUUUAUUACAUGCUCAAAAAAUUAUGAAAACUGUAGUUCUUGUCGGAUGUAUUUCGUACAUAAUGGAAUUGUAGAUAGUUUCAUAGAAUAAUAAAAAAUAUUUUAUAUAAAGUAUGAUUUAUUUCAUGAUUUAAUAGCAAUAGUUAAAUCUACAAUAUUUAAAUUAAAAAUCAUCAAUAUUAAUAUAUAUUUUUUAAAAUUAUUUUAUAACCUCAAUUUCAAAAGCAUUCUUAACCAAACACAUUAAAUUACUUUUUUUUCAACUUCAAUUUCAAUCAUAUUUUUAACCAAACACCUAUUUUUUCAAACAAAUCUCAACUAAAAAUAUUUUUUUUCAAAUCACAACCAUAAUAUGUAUCGCAAUACUAAACACACUACAGGUAAUAAACUAGCCCAACAAAUCAUACCUAGGGAAGCAAAAGCCAGAAACAAGCUACCUCGAUUCUUGCUCCACCGGGGUAAGAAAUGCAGCAUGCCCACUUGGAAUUAUAGAGCGUCCAAAUUCCAUGGCAAAUAAUUGGUUGGAAUUGUUUUCUGAGGGGUCAUUUCAAAAUCUGAAAAUAAAAACAGAAAAUAGAUCCAGCAAAUGAUUCCAAAUAUCUUCUAAAAACAACGAUGAAAUAUGUUUUUUUAUUUACCGUAAGGAAAGAUAUUAAUGAAAUUUUUUUAUAAAAAAAAUCAAUUUAAAAAAUAUAUAACAAGUCAAAAUCUAUACUUAAAAUCUUUCUCGUAUUAAAUUCUUAAUUCAAUCAAAUAAAAUAUUAAUUUAAUAAAACAUAGUUAAGUUUUUGAUAGUUGAAUAUUUAGUAUAACGGUGACGUACUACUUAUUAUUUCUAUUUUAGCAUUUUAGCAUUUCAUACUCAUCAAAACCAUUGGAACACAAUCAAGCUUUAUCUUCAAACAACCAGGGAGAUUUUAUAGGGAUAAAAUUUUAAAAAUCACGUCUAUGCUACUUUCUAGUUUUAAUAUUAAAUUUAAUAUUUAAAAAAUGUGUUUAUGAAUAUGGCAGUUUCAGGUUUAGAAACCAAAACUGCCAUAUUCAUACUCUUUUAGACAUUUUAAAAAUAUGUAUAGAAGAAUACUUUCACUGAUGAGUUAUAAUAUUAGGUUACUUUAAUGAUAAAUCAAUAUAGUAUUUUUUUUUUUUUUUUUGGAUUUUCAUCUUGGAGAAAUUCAAUAGGAUGAAAAUAUAAUAUUAAUCAAACUUUAAAUUAUAAUUGUUUAUCUAUCGAGUUAAAAAAAAUAUGACAAUUCAGUAGUCUUUAAUGAAAAAGAAAAAAAAGAGGUUAUUUAUGUAAUUGUAAGCACGCUAUAUUAUAUUACUUUACAAAGGGACCAAGGACACCCUUUGCAUUAGGAUGCUCCCACUGCACUAUUGUCUCCCACUGCACUAUGGCUGGCCAUUUUCAAGCAACGAAAGACAAAUUGGCAUCCUCUUCAGCUUCUCACAACCCAUUACAGUAAUAUCUUCAAUAGAAUUGCAAAUCAGUUUUGCACUGCAAAUGCUUUUCAGUUCUGGUAAGUCUACCAAUUCCAGAGUUAUUAACUUUGGGAGAAUGACUUCCGUGAUGGUAUUGGAGGUGCUGCUUUCUUCAUCUGUUGUUCCUAUUAUCUCCUCCAUUUUCUCACAAUCUUCAACUUCAAUCCUUUCCAGGUUUACGAGGUUUGGCAGCAACACAAGCGGGAACAGCUUCUUCAUACUUUUACAGGUAUAACAAGAAAACUCUUUAAGACCAGAAAACGUACCGUUACAUGAUGGCAAUCGUGGUGGAGCAGAGCAGAACCAAGAAGAUGAAACCAAGCUCUCCAUGCUAUUGCAAUCCCCAAUGUUGAUGUGCUCCAGUUCAGUUGCAUUCUCUAAUGACAAAACAUCACAUAAACUUCUUGCAUCGAUGCAUUGACAAAUCAGUCCUUGAAUGCCAUUUAAGAACUUGACCUGAAAAUCUCUAUCUCCGUUGAUACUCAAAUUACCCAACCCAACUGUUUUACUUGGAUAAUCUUCAAUGCAUUCCUCUAAAAAUCUACCCACCUCUCCUACUAAAAUCUUGCAUGUGCUUAAUGAUAGGAUCCCAUCCCGAGAUCUGAGAUACUCCACGAAGUCAGAAAAACCUUCGAAAUGGCACUCCAAAGUUUCCAAAUUUCUCAAGGAUACUACUUCCUCUACUUUAACUGUUAUCGGAGCAUCAUCUUGCGGCAUAAAAUCUUCUAGUACAAAGACUUGCAGGUGAGAGAGUUUUGGUAAUAUCCCACUAGGAAACUCCUUUUCACCACAUCCAUUCAUUCUAAGAUACAUCAGGUUGGUUAGGCAUUCCAUUCCUUGCGGCAUCGUUUCAAGUCGAGUACCAGAGAGAUCCAACCUCUUCAGUGCCCUGAGCUUCUUUAAUGAUGGAACAUAUCUUAACUUGUCACACUCACGCGGAGCAAUAACGCAGUGAGACUCACCAAAUCAGAGACAGAGUCUGGCAAGUUUUCAAUACCUGUCCAAGACAGAUCGAGGACCUUGAGCCCAUGCAAUUGCUUGAAAAAUGAAUCCGCAACAAAUCCCAAGAACCGAUUUUCACAUAGCAAUAGAGUUGAUAGAUAGGGACACCUAGGUGAAUGGCUGGAAGGAAUUUCUUCGAUCUUGUUUGCAUUAGUGAAACUCUCGUCAGAUUCUCCGUCCACUCCUCUGCAUCUGGCAACU
This 21043-nucleotide long non-coding RNA is filed under the name Populus tremula. RNAcentral's name for it is "long non-coding RNA (PTRE_LNC001698)". Lineage: Eukaryota; Viridiplantae; Streptophyta; Magnoliopsida; Malpighiales; Salicaceae. The record is from RNAcentral.